Molecule: long non-coding RNA, 597 nt
Organism: Gorilla gorilla gorilla (western lowland gorilla)
Lineage: Eukaryota; Metazoa; Chordata; Mammalia; Primates; Hominidae
Exons: 3
Source: RefSeq, a predicted model, not a curated record
CAAAUAUGUAAAUUUCCUGGCUUGCUCUAGAUCUCAUUUUGUUGUAAACAGGACCCUACAUUAACUUGAAUGCACUUUGCUGGGAUAGGUGUGCAUCAGAAUUAUCCUGUCUCACCUCACUUUCCAGAAAAAAUGUUUUCAGAGGAUAUCACGACAGCCUUGCUGUGAAUAUGGACUCCAGUGGAAGCAAAUCAGUGUCAUAAUCUACAGCUAGAAAGCAGAGCUGUCAUGAACAGCUCUGAAUGCCAUCACCAGGUAUAAGAAGUUAUUCAGUCUCUAUGCAAGCCAAACUCAGCAUCAGUAUGUGGGAAUCUUCCUUUAAGAUAAGGCCUCUUGGUGAGUAACUGGGAAUCAUUUUUACACAGGAAAGCAAGUCAACAGUGCAUACUUCUAUAACCUGAAACCACUUCUUGGAUGUUGUUAGUUUAAAUAUAUACAUCUCUCCUCUCUCUCUCUCUCUCUCUCUCUGUGUGUGUGUGUGUGUGUGUGUAUGUAUGUGUACCUGGCAAAGUCAAGAGGACUGCUGAGGAGCUUCAGAAAUCAUCAUCAUUCACUCAUUCCCCUAAUUACAACAAGAUGAGAAUACUUUAAAGAGAA